CUCCAAACUACGUCUUGGUAGGGCCGAGAGCACAGGAUUCCUGGCCCAAAGAGGUAUGUGCCGUGGACACCAAGCUCGGUGGAACCUUCGGGAUAUUCAAGUCGAAUGAUGUCACGUGCUUCUCGCUUCCUGCUUCUUCAAGAAAAAGAAAAGGCCCGGCUUAAAGGAGGGAGCUUGCAGAGUGAGAAGUCCUACAACUUGUUGGGGGGGGGAAGCUUAUGAGCUGGAGCUAUUCACGAGAAGAUGAAUGAUAAAUUUGCAGAGGAGCUGGAGGGAAAGGGUGAAAGCAAAUAAAAGGCAGUGCCCAGACGAGGGUUUGAAAGUGGAGCUGUGCCAAGAAAAAAAAGAUUAACACAACGCAUUUCGACCAUCAAUUUUGAACUCGAAGCAAUCCAACAGGCCAUGACGACAAAGCAACUUAUUCAACCUUUCCACCCAACAUGAGCCAACGUAUAGUAAGAGCAGCUUCGUUAGUCUCACCCCCACACAUCGCGACACAAGCUCGGUGCAAACGCUCCGGGCACGUGCCGUGCCGGGUGGAUGGAUGGGGGAGCAGCCUCUUUGCCCUGCACUGAUUUGCGUCCGUGUUCCUGGUGGAGGAUCAUCGAGAGCCAAUUGUACACCACCGGCUUUUUCUUGGAUACACCUUACAGCACCAUGUCCCGCACUCUCCUAGCUUUCCACCUCCUCUCACUUUUCUUCACUGGCUGGUGUGAGACUCCACAUUGCCCCUCAAUGGCCACCUCAUGGAAGGCCGAUGUCCCCGGCAAAGCAAGUGCGGUGAGCACAUGGUGGCGGUGUGUGCAGCGGCCGAGUGUGCAGGGGCAGAACGUGCAAUAUCCGAGCGUGAAGUUGCUUGGGCGUCUCCUGCAGGCAGCGGCCCGGAGCGGAAAGCGUCACGUGGACGAGUUUGUAGGUCUUAUGGGACGCCGUGAGCCAGAGAUGAUAAAAGAAAAUGUUCAAUCAGAUAAGAAAUCUAACGAGUUUUAUGGACUAAUGGGGCGCUCUGCCGACGCUCUUGGUAAGUAUUUGUUGUCUCUUCGACACGUACAUUAUUGUUUGUCUGCAUUUGGCCCCUGUAUUAUAAUUGAGGUGAAAACUGAAAC
This 1106-nucleotide long non-coding RNA is filed under the name Eptatretus burgeri (inshore hagfish). RNAcentral describes it as "lncRNA (ENSEBUG00000017163.1)". The record is from RNAcentral. Lineage: Eukaryota; Metazoa; Chordata; Myxini; Myxiniformes; Myxinidae.